This 889-nucleotide long non-coding RNA is filed under the name Theobroma cacao (cacao). RNAcentral's name for it is "long non-coding RNA (TCAC_LNC002019)". The record is from RNAcentral. Lineage: Eukaryota; Viridiplantae; Streptophyta; Magnoliopsida; Malvales; Malvaceae.
CCAAUUCUACCUUCGCCUGGAUUCACACGAUUUACGUUGAACUCAACCUAACCCAUAGGUGGAGCCUCCCACACAACAUCCCGUCUUGUUGGCUUUUCAAUCUGAGCAAUUGAAGCAAAGUUGGAAUUUCUAAAAAUCUCCUUAUGCGAAUUUUCAAACUUUGGCCACUUAGCUUUACUCCAAACAGUAAUUCGUAAUUUAAUUAAAUCAUACAAUUACCUAACAUCCCAAUUCUUUCCAUUAAAAACUAUAUCAUUAUGACUAAGCUAGAUUGACUAAAAGGCAAGCAUCCAAAGUUUUAUCGUAUCGCUAAUGUCAUGCACUGAUCUCCACGAUAAGCCAAUUUCUUGGAUUAAAUGGGAAGACACAACUAAGAUUCCAAUCCAAAAACCACAGACCCCAAAAAGUCCAUAACUCCUCACAAGUAAAGAACAAAUAAUUAGCAGUUUUUGAAAACUAUUUACAAAGAACACAAAUAGCCUAGUCCUCUCCAAUUAAAUUUAUUUUAAUUAGCUCAGAUUUUACAGUUAUUUUCUGCCACAUCAAAUGCCACACAAACAUCUCAGCUUUAAAUGGGGCAUAUCCUAUUCAUAUCUUAUUCCAGAAUUCAUUCUUCUCAGAGUUACUUAAACUCACAAUUUGACAAAAAGAAUUAGAAGAAUACAUACCACUUGGGUUGGCUUUUCAAAUAAUCCCAUCCUUGAACCUGUCCCCCAAUAUGUGUUCCCUCAAGUAACUCUAAAGAUGUGUCCACUGCUCAAAUUUCCACCCAAAUAAUCAUCAUCUGAGUUCAAUUUGCCAUUGCCCAUGCUGACAAAGCCUUCCUCUUUUAUUGGAAGCCAAGGUAAAUAAUCUUAGGAAUUCCAUCUUGAAUAUGAAGCCAUCAAAC